UGUUGCGAUUUCCAUCUUGAAUUUCCCAGAAUUAAGGCACGACACGUAACACACACCGCACUAUAUAAUUAACGUUUGCUUAUGCUCAACGUUGUCAUUUUUCACAAAUUUAGUCUGGGAUCGUUUUUUGCCCUUCGUGAGCAGACGCACUUCACUCACAAAAACUAUGCAAAACCUGACUGGCUGACUCACAAUGCAAGCAAUAGAAAAUAGAAAAAUACACACAUACAAAAAUAGUGCACGAGGUCAGGUGGGGAGGGUAAAGGAAAGGGAGGGAUCAACACGUACACUGCAUGAACUCUCACCAAACCUAUCAAUCAUCAUGCGCGUGUUCUGUUCUAACUUGUUCUUUUUGGACGUACAAAUUCUGCUUAUUCUGCUGCUUGUAUGUGCAAAGUAAAUACCGUAAAUACAACAGAGAAGGGAGAAAUAGAGAGAAACUGUGGAAUUUGUGGAUGAGCCUUGGUCGCCUUGGAGGAAUGGAAUUUCACCAGUGAAUGCUCGCUCUGCAAGUCUACGGGCUGCAAUAAAACUGAUAAAGAUGGAUCAAUUAAUGCGCCCUUUGAUAAGGAGUGUCCGCUGUCUGGACACGGAGGAUGACUCGAGGUCAUCUCAUUUCCAGGCAGUUUAAAUAACAAAAUCGUCUGAUGAUUCGCCAUGAGAUAUUUUUGCGUGAAAUUUUAAAGCUUCGGGAAAGAUUGAAUUGAAAGGAAAUGAAAAUGUAAUAACGAUAUUUUUGUUGUGCAUAAAUGAGCGGAG
Neocloeon triangulifer is the source of this 759-nucleotide long non-coding RNA. RefSeq lists it as uncharacterized. The transcript is spliced from 3 exons. The record is from RefSeq and is a predicted model, not a curated record. Lineage: Eukaryota; Metazoa; Arthropoda; Insecta; Ephemeroptera; Baetidae.